AGUGAACGCUGGCGGUAGGCCUAACACAUGCCAGUCGAACGGCAGCACAGUAAGAGCUUGCUCUUACGGGUGGCGAGUGGCGGACGGGUGAGGAAUACAUCGGAAUCUACUUUUUCGUGGGGGAUAACGUAGGGAAACUUACGCUAAUACCGCAUACGACCUACGGGUGAAAGCAGGGGAUCUUCGGACCUUGCGCGAUUGAAUGAGCCGAUGUCGGAUUAGCUAGUUGGCGGGGUAAAGGCCCACCAAGGCGACGAUCCGUAGCUGGUCUGAGAGGAUGGUCAGCCACACUGGAACUGAGACACAGUCCAGACACCUACGGGAGGCAGCAGUGGGGAAUAUUGGACAAUGGACGCGAGCCUGAUCCAGCCAUACCGCGUGGGUGAAGAAGGCCUUCGGGUUGGAAAGCCCUUUUGUUGGGAAAGAAAAGCAGCAGGUUAAUACCCCGCUGUUCUGACGGUACCCAAAGAAUAAGCACCGGCUAACUUCGUG
Molecule: ribosomal RNA, 492 nt
Filed under: uncultured bacterium
Lineage: Bacteria
Description: partial 16S ribosomal RNA
Rfam family: Bacterial small subunit ribosomal RNA
Source: RNAcentral